Molecule: transfer RNA, 75 nt
Filed under: Deinococcus ficus
Lineage: Bacteria; Thermotogati; Deinococcota; Deinococci; Deinococcales; Deinococcaceae
Description: tRNA-Asn
Rfam family: tRNA
About the family: Transfer RNA (tRNA) molecules are approximately 80 nucleotides in length. Their secondary structure includes four short double-helical elements and three loops (D, anti-codon, and T loops).
Source: RNAcentral
UCCGGGGUAACUCAGUGGCAGAGUGUCCGCCUGUUAAGCGGAACGCCGAAGGUUCGAUUCCUUCCCCCGGAGCCA